This is a non-coding RNA of Ornithorhynchus anatinus (platypus), 138 nucleotides long. The record is from Rfam. NCBI's taxonomy places the organism in Eukaryota, Metazoa, Chordata, Mammalia, Monotremata, Ornithorhynchidae.
CCCCUCUCAGGGUCGCACCUGGAGAGUUUCCAGUACUCUACCGGUCUUGACUCCUGGAGGGAGAGUAAAGCAGAGGCAUAACCAUUCCAUUCUUAGCCUGGCCAGUGGCUAACGAGUGGAAAGCAAUCUGCUACAAGU